GAUGAACGCUGGCGGCGUGCCUAAUACAUGCAAGUCGAGCGAACAGACGAGGAGCUUGCUCCUUCGACGUUAGCGGCGGACGGGUGAGUAACACGUAGGUAACCUACCUAUAAGACUGGGAUAACUUCGGGAAACCGGAGCUAAUACCGGAUAAUAUUUCGAACCGCAUGGUUCGAUAGUGAAAGAUGGCUUUGCUAUCACUUAUAGAUGGACCUGCGCCGUAUUAGCUGGUUGGUAAGGUAACGGCUUACCAAGGCAACGAUACGUAGCCGACCUGAGAGGGUGAUCGGCCACACUGGAACUGAGACACGGUCCAGACUCCUACGGGAGGCAGCAGUAGGGAAUCUGCCGCAAUGGGCGAAAGCCUGACGGAGCAACGCCGCGUGAGUGAUGAAGGUCUUCGGAUCGUAAAACUCUGUUAUUAGGGAAGAACAAACGUGUAAGUAACUGUGCACGUCUUGACGGUACCUAAUCAGAAAGCCACGGCUAAGUACGUG
Molecule: ribosomal RNA, 497 nt
Filed under: uncultured bacterium
Lineage: Bacteria
Description: partial 16S ribosomal RNA
Rfam family: Bacterial small subunit ribosomal RNA
Source: RNAcentral